RNAcentral lists this long non-coding RNA (259 nucleotides) under Lathyrus oleraceus (garden pea). RNAcentral describes it as "Pisum sativum (pea) long non-coding RNA (PSAT_LNC010299)". The record is from RNAcentral. Lineage: Eukaryota; Viridiplantae; Streptophyta; Magnoliopsida; Fabales; Fabaceae.
CAAAGUGGCAUAACUCUUGAUUCACAAGGCCAAUUCAUGUGGUUCUUUUUUGAGCAAACCAUAUUUGACAUGUACUUUCAUAAUGCAUCAUCACAUUUCAUCAAAAUUCAUCACAUAAAAAGUCCAUUUUUCAAGUGAAUUAAUUUUAAAAAGUGGAGGGAAAAAGUGAUUUUGCAAAAUAAGCGGGGCAUACACAUAAUUUCACUUGCAUCAGCUCACAAACAUGUUUUAAAACUUGCUCCAAAACAGAUUUUUGAGU